Gigantopelta aegis is the source of this 3818-nucleotide RNA transcript. It is a transcript of the gene named MORN repeat-containing protein 1-like, with no coding region annotated. The transcript is spliced from 15 exons. NCBI's taxonomy places the organism in Eukaryota, Metazoa, Mollusca, Gastropoda, Neomphalida, Peltospiridae. The record is from RefSeq and is a predicted model, not a curated record.
GGUACCGUUGUCAGUGAAAACAACAUGGCGACAGAUGCUGUGUGCAAACCUGGAUAUAUUGGAGAGAAAAAGAAAUUACUUCGUGAUGGUCAUGGUGUCUAUGUUUAUGAGAAUCCAUAUUUCCGAUAUGAAGGAACGUGGAAAAAUGGGAAGAAGCAUGGUCAUGGAAAGCUCCUGAUGCGAGAUGGUACAUUCUACGAGGGCCAGUUUAUUGAUGGGGAGAUAACUGGACAUGGGUAUAAGUAUUUUGCGUCGACAAAAGCCCGAUAUACUGGCCAGUUUUUAAAUGGUGAACUGGAAGGCUAUGGAAUCAUGACCUAUGCCGAUGGAACACAAUACGAAGGAGAGUGGCAUCAGAAUAGAAAACGUGGUAUGGGUGUGAUGAAGCUGUCUGAAGGAACCUAUAAGGGUUGUUUUCAGGGACAUUUGAGGCACGGUCAGGGAUCCCUGAUGUAUGAGAAUGUCUAUAAAACACUGAGAAACGGUGAUUACUACAAAGGCUAUUGGGUGAUGGACAAGAGGCAGGGUCACGGACGACUAGUAUGUGCGGAUGGAACCAUAUAUGAGGGUCAGUGGUACAAUGACUUGUUUCACGGCGAUGGUUUCAUGGAACACGCAUCGGGGAUUCUGUAUUCUGGACAGUGGGUGAAUGGUCUACCCGAGCGGAUGGCCGCGAAGAUUGUGAUAACGAACACCACAGAGAUCGACAUCAAACAGGGAGAGACGUUCUCCAUCACUGUGGAAGUGAGAGAUGGUGCAGAUGAACUCGUGGAAGAUCAAGGGAGAGAACUCCAUAUUAUAGCAGGUUAUAAAUAUUAUGCACCACUGGGGUCGAUGGAACCUGCAUUAUUCGACAUGAUAGAAGACAUGGAAGAUAAACCUAUUAGCACACCAUUUGGCUAUGAUAUUGUUGCAUACCCUCUGACUGACCAGCUGAUAGAAGAGGAGAAACCUGAAGAAGAGGCUGACAAAGAACAGCCAGAAAAGGGAGACAGCGAAGAAACGGUAGAUGGAACAGAUCUCACAGAUUCAUCAAAAGACCUGCAAGAGGGUGAAGGACAGAAGAACGAACAAACGGAAGAAGAGAAAGAAGAAGCUCAGAAGGAAGACACAGCAAAGAAGGAGGAAGCUGCAAAGAAGGAAGACACAGCAAAGAAGGAGGAAGCUGCAAAGAAGGAAGACACAGCAAAGAAAGAAGAAGCUGCAAAGAAGGAAGACACAGCAAAGAAGGAACCAAAGAGUGAUGCAAUGGAUGGAAAGAAGGAAGAAGAGAAGAAGGAUGGAGAGAAGGAUGCUGAUGGUAGCCGACCAGAUUCUCCCAGUGGGAGUGACGCAGCUUCCGAGUCAUGUCACAGUAAAGUCGAGUUGUUUGGCGACAUUGGCGACACGGCUGUCAGAGAUCCGGUUGUAUCCAAGCCACUGCCUCCCCCGGUCAACAACAAGAGAACAGGAAGUGGCAAGUGCUGCUGGGAAAACCUCCAUCUUGCUCCACCGCCCCCAAUGUACAGACCUUUCCUGGUGAUGGAACAAGUGGAGAAAAGUAAAUCAAAAACCAAAGUUUCAAAGGACAGAAGUGGAGAAAAAAUAGAUUCUAAGAGCACGGGUAAGGGUAAACAGAAGAAUAUAUUAACAGACGAAAUGUAUCCAAGGACGGGAGAGUAUGUGAUUAUGGUAAUGGAUGCAACGAAUCCUCCCUUCCUGAACCACACCCUAGAACCAGCCUUCAUGCUCGUCAAGCUGAGGAAACUGCCAGUGAAAAAAGUGAUCGUUAAGAAGGCCUCAAAACCAAAUCUUUCAGAAGAAAGUUUAAGUAAUCCUGGAAGUGAACCAGAAUGUAAUAACACUGAUAUCGAACAGGAGGUUUGAAAACAGUCAUAUUUGUUUACCUUUUUGUCUGCUAUGCUGUUAUGAGAAAUGUGGGAUACCUCAAGUUUCAUAAUGCAAGCAUCGAGACGUCUUUCUUCCGGAUCCGAUGGGUGAAUUUCUACCUCUACAUCUCACAAAACUGAUCUCACAAAGUACAUCUCACACAGUACAUCUCACAUACUGUACUGCACAUCUGUUUGAAAAUAACAUGGAAUAUGUGAAGGCUUCAAUUUCAAGACUUCAUUUUGGAUGAGUUAUCUUUCCUUGCCAUAAUGUGGCCAUAAAUUGCUGUGAAUGGUCUGCCGUGAAAUCUGCGUUUUAGCAGUCACUUGUAUGAGUAACAAAGAAACAUGGUUACUAGAUAUAAGUUAACUGUAGGUGUGAUUAUUAUGAGGGAUAUCUGUUAGAUACGGGUUAAUUAUACAUAAAGGAAUCACAAGAAUAUCUGCCAGAUAUACAUGUAGGGUAAUUGUAAGUAUAUAAUUAUAGGAUAUUAAACGAGCUUCCACUUCGUAUUAUGUUUAUGUCCUGAGUGAAAUAAUUUACAACUGUCACAAGCUUUAGUGAGUGACAAUGAAAAUUGUUUCAUGAAGGACAUAAACAUGAUAUGAAAUGAUAAUGAGUUUAAUAUCCUAUUUAUUACCCAUAAUCGAUCUUAAUUUAGAUCACUCAACUUGUUUCUGUACGGUUAUAGUGUGCCAAUUGAUGACGUAGUCAUGUGAUGUUGAAGUGUUACGUCCCACUUCGCAUUCUAGUGAGACAUAUCACUAAUAUAUACCAAGAUAUUUUUAACCAUAUGGGUAAUAAUAUGGGAUAUCUGCUAGAUAUGGGUUAAUUGUAGUGAAAUAAUAUGAAACAGGGUUUCCAGAAACCUAUAUGUUCACUUACUUUUCCAAAUUUAAUAUCCGUUUGUUAUAGCCUGUUCCAGUACAUUAUGUAAUUGUUUAAUUAAUUCUACACAGAACCCCAUGCCUAUCACCCUAGGAUCUCUGUGCCUUUAAUGCUUGGGAUUCCAUUAAUCCAGGGGUCAAUUUUCAAUUUUGAGGUCACCUCAAGUGCUGACAUUUAAUGAAAAAAAUUAGAGCACCAAGGCAAACAUUUCCUUCAAAAGAGAGGCGUUCUUGAGGCAUGUAUCACUUUGAUACAUACCAAGAUAUUUUAAAGUAUAUGGGUAAUAUUGAGAGUUUUUACAUAUUCUUUUUCUACUGGGUCUUACCAAGGUGGCGUGAAUAAAUUACUUGUAAGAAGCACACCAGUGUGAUUUUGGGGCAGGAUUUAGCUCAGUUGGUUGAGUGCUCGCAAGAGGUUAGCAAGUUUAUUAUGAAUACUGUUAACACUAGAAAUGGGAAUGCGAGUUAAUAUUUAAAAAAAAUGUCGGGUCAUAUUUUUAAUAAUUUAUACAAAAACAAAUAUGUUGCAUGUUUGAAAUCUAUUUUACAAAAUAUGUCUGUUGUAUGUUUGGAGUUUAUUUACAAAAUAUGUCUGAUGUACAUUUUUAAUUACUAUACAAAAUAUGUUGAUUACGUGUUUGGAAUAUUUUCUAUUGUACAUUGGGGAUUAUUUACAAAAUAAGUUUAUGCUACAUAUUUGAAAUAUUAUACAAAAAGUUUUUUAUUGUACCGGGUAUAUUUAGAAAUAUUUACAAAACAUCGUAUUGUGCUACUAAUAAAAAGGUGUGUUUCAAAAUACACUAACAAAAGCUCAACAAUGAAUUUGUUAAAAAAAUAUUUGUGGUAUUUUAACAAUCCUCUUGGAAUUUUUCAAACAUCUGUAAUCAGGAUAGACUUGUUACAAUUCAUCUGUCAUAAUUUCCUUUCAUAACUGUUCAUUGUGAUUUAGGUUUUCUGUAAGGAGUCAUACAUGUAGUUAAUGGCCAUUAAUUAUUUGAAGUGAUCUGUGAUAUAUUGCCAUGUUAUUUAUUACUUGUUAUAUAUUAAAAGUAAUGCCACAUA